UUUGAUUGUCGCUUUGAGUUUUUAUUUGUAAUUUUUGAUCAUUCGUCUUAUUCAAAAAAUUUUGAAAUUAUUAUUUGUUUUGUUUGUGAUUUGCUUUAUUAUCAAAAGUAUUUUAAGUACAACUUAUUCUUUUUUAUAUUUGCACUAAUUUUUCAAAUAAAACGAAUGGUCAAGCAUUACAAGAAAAAAAUCAAAGCGACAUCUAUU
This 207-nucleotide microRNA precursor is filed under the name Oryza sativa Japonica Group (Japanese rice). RNAcentral describes it as "MIR812 microRNA precursor family". It matches the Rfam family "MIR812 microRNA precursor family". The record is from Rfam by way of RNAcentral. Lineage: Eukaryota; Viridiplantae; Streptophyta; Magnoliopsida; Poales; Poaceae.